This 497-nucleotide ribosomal RNA is filed under the name uncultured bacterium. Its description in RNAcentral is "partial 16S ribosomal RNA". It matches the Rfam family "Bacterial small subunit ribosomal RNA", at positions 28 to 507 of the family's 1533-position model. The record is from RNAcentral.
GAUGAACGCUGGCGGCGUGCCUAAUACAUGCAAGUCGAGCGAACAGACGAGGAGCUUGCUCCUCUGACGUUAGCGGCGGACGGGUGAGUAACACGUGGAUAACCUACCUAUAAGACUGGGAUAACUUCGGGAAACCGGAGCUAAUACCGGAUAAUAUAUUGAACCUCAUGGUUCAAUAGAGAAAGACGGUUUUGCUGUCACUUAUAGAUGGAUCCGCGCCGCAUUAGCUAGUUGGUAAGGUAACGGCUUACCAAGGCAACGAUGCGUAGCCGACCUGAGAGGGUGAUCGGCCACACUGGAACUGAGACACGGUCCAGACUCCUACGGGAGGCAGCAGUAGGGAAUCUUCCGCAAUGGGCGAAAGCUUGACGGAGCAACGCCGCGUGAGUGAUGAAGGUCUUCGGAUCGUAAAACUCUGUUAUUAGGGAAGAACAAAUGUGUAAGUAACUAUGCACGUCUUGACGGUACCUAAUCAGAAAGCCACGGCUAACUACGUG